GUUACCUCUUUUCCAAUUUCAAAAUCCCCUAAAUGGGACCUCAGGUGCUUUAUUUUCUCAUAGAUGUGCCAAAUUCUUUCAGGCACUUGGCGUUCUUUCCGAUCACAUUCACGAUAUCAACAUUAUCAGACUCCAGAAUCACUGGAGCUUACGGCACUUGCCCAACAGCUGAAGGCCAGUAGCGCAGGUUUUCGCUCCAGCUUUCAGCGCUUCGACUUUCAUGGAUAGCAAGAGCAGAGUAAACAAAGAUCUUCUUUAAAAAAAUAUAUAUUUUCGCUACUUUUUCUCGCACCUUUUUCACACCUCGUCCUAGCAGUAGUAUCGCCCGGUACUUCUAGGGCUGGAGCUACCACUUUUUUUUCUUUUUGAGGGAGCUGGAGCUACCACUUUGCCAGGUGUGACCGAGAGGUAAAACUACCCUGUAAAAUUCUUGAGCAUGUAUAACGGUUCGAUUUGUGGGGCUCUAUAUAAGAGGUCGUCUUAUAUCUCAAGAAAUACCUAUAUGAUUCCUUGAGAUUUGGAGAAAAUGUUGAUUUCUCUUACUUCCUUAUGGAUUCCAUUAUGAUUCUCAUGAUCUCCUCGGCUCGUAGCGCGUCAGCUCCUGCGUGCUUCACACCCAGCUUAAUUAGCCCACUGUGUAUAUGUCCAAUUUUGAGCACACUACACGAGAUAAAAAAAGAAAGAUAAAUUCUACUCCCUCCGAUCCAUAAUAAAUGUCCGAAAUUUAGUACAAAGUUAGUAUAACUUUGUACUAAAUUUCAAUUUCAGACACUUAUCAUGGAAGUACACUUAAAAGAAGUUAGACUACCCGGCCUCUCGUUGAUUCGGGCACCAUGAGAUAAUUUCGCACCGUCCGAUUGCUGAGCAGCCUCAUCCGGAGCGUCCAAUUCGCGUGUUUAAUUGCUACCUGGUCUGCCUGGAUGGAAAUGGCUGCAGGUGGGCCAGUCUGUCUGUGGUCCCGAUGGAGUCUGGGACCAGGUCUCUGUAUUUUUCUUUGACUUCUUCGUCCCGUUCGGGGUAGGCAUGGCUGCACUGCGGUGAUGGAGGGCACAGCGCGGCGAGUCGGCGACGGCAUGGCGGCUGGUACGGCGGCCCCUGUGCACUGGCCGAGUGCAAUAUCCUUCGUUACCCCCAUGGGAUCCCCUUCCAAUGAACACGAUGCAAGCCCCGUACCUCCCCAUAUCCGCGACGGAUCGACCUCCUCCCCAUCCGCCGCCGCAACCAGCUCCUGGAGCGGACGCGGGCGGCGGAGUAUCGACCGUCGGACACGCGGGCGGCGGGGGAGCGACCAACGGGCGCGCGGGCGGCGGAGGAGCGACCAUCGGGCACGCGGGCGGCGCAGGAGGGACCUUCGGCCUCUUGGAGGCCGUAGGUUGCCGGGGUGGUCGAGCAGCGCGCGGUGGGAGGCGACCUCCUUCUCGCUGGAGAGCCUGGCUGGCGCAGGCAUGCGGCUGCGGCGGCGGAGGUAACUCCGGCGCGAUGAAGUCCUUGCGGGCCGGUUCCACGCGGUCCUUAUCCUUGGGCCGAUGGUAGGGGGCUUACUACUCGCUGGACCUGGAGCGGCUGCACGGUGCUUGCACGCUUGGGCAGAAGGACCGACGGCUUGGUGAAGACCGACGUCGAGGUCGACCCGGCGAGCGGUUGGAGGUGGUGGCUUCGAUCUCCAGGCUCCAGCGCGGGUGGGGGUUCCUCGAGGCGACGGUGGCUUGAGCGGAGGCGGUGGCUGGUUCCCUGGGGUCGACGGCGACGGUGAUUCCCGGUCGUGGCGGUGAUUUCUGGAGGUUUCGGAGGGAGGCAGCGGCCGAUCGAGGUCGUCUGCAGGCGCCGAUGAUUCUUGUUGCGCCAUGGUCCUCGCCGAGUGCGUCUACAAGGUCCCCUAACCUCUGUCCUACGCUCUCCACUCGCCUUUUGUUUUCUGUGAUUCGAUUCCGUUGGACAGAUUAGAUAGAUCCGAAGCCAGGCAUGUCUGGCUGCUGGAUAAGAACGAUGCAAGUCGGCUCCUUUCAUAUGAAGAAUUGUAUGCGGGUUAAUGAGAUCCGAAGCCAGGAGCAAACCUUUUGAUUCUUUGCAGGUUGAUGAGAUCCGAAGCCAGGCAUCAAUUCACAUGAAGAAUUGUAUUGAUCUAAUUUCUCUAUCUAGCAUUCGUGGUUGAGGUAAACAAAUUACUCAGGUCAUGAAUUCUUCUAGAUACCCUUUUUUAUGUCUACUAAUAGUGUCCUCGAUUAAAUAGUUGUCCCCGAUUAAAUAGUUCAAUGUUGAUUACUCACCUGGGUGGGUUGGCGUGAGCUUGGUCUAAUUCAGUCUGAUUUUGGCGUCUAUGUGGUGUGCGCACGUAUAGGAGCCAAAGGCGUCUGAUUGAACUCAGGUCGUGGAGGUCAAGGAGGUUCGGCUCCUGGACAUGCCGCCAAUCACUCGAUGACACCGAUGUGCAGACUGGAUUUUCCCUCACUCUGCCCUGAUAUUUCUAGGAAUAUCUGCAAAUUGCGUAGUUAUUUUGCUUAAGAUUGGCGGUCAUGAAUUCUUGUACAACUUAGCUUGGUGUGAGCUCGGUUUGAUUCAAUCUGGUUUUGGCGUCUACGUGGUGUGUGCGCAUGCAGGGGCUGAACCGCUGUAGGCGUCCGAUCGAACUCAGGUGGAGGCCCAGGAGGUUCAGCUCCCGGACAUGCCGCCAAUCACUCUCGAUGACGCAGACGUGCAGACUGUAAAUAGCCUCGCUCCGCCCUGAUAUGUAUAUGAACUUCUGCAAAUUGCGUAGUUAUUUUGCUUAAGUCGAUCUCCGUGCAAUAUGAUCUGUGUGUAAUAGGAGCAUAAGAAUCAGGGUGAUGCCUUAUAAUUUAUUUAUCCCUUGCUGUAAAUUUGGAUUAGUCUCUGUUAAGAUAACUGAGAUGAGAUUAUCCAUUCCAAACACACCAGUUCUGUUGAGAUGAUGUAUGGUUUUCCUGCGUGUUAUCGCGGAACUGUUACCUGUUUCUAAGUAUCUCCAUUGCUUCAGCAUUUUUGUUUAUCAUAGUUUGAUAACUUAAUCCUACCUUUAUUGAAGUUCUGGUACUCUGAUGGCUUUUGAUGGGUGUUUUGGGUGCUGAUUGCGGUGGUAGGUAGCUUAGCUGAAAAAUGUUGCAUGGACAGAUCUGCCCUUGGCACACCAUACAUAUUUCUGAGUUUUAAGUACGAAUGUAUGAUUAAGGCUCAUAUCUUCCUGGUCUGAAGUUGUGUUACUUUCAAAUGGAAGAAUUGUGGAAAAACUGUUAUCAAUGUGUCCUGUAAACUUGUUUCCCCAUCGUCAGCAUAUUAUUAUCAGCUAUUUAGUGAAAAUGAGAAAACAUGGAUUGGUUAUUAGUUUGAAACUUCUGUCAAUCUCCUGCUCGGGUGGCCUAAAACUUCUAUGAUCAAUAAACAAAUAUCUCCUGCAGGUUUGCGGCACCGAGAAUGCGAGCCAUAAGUACAAGCUCGAGGCGAGUAUGUGGAUCUAGUUUAACAAGAUUUUGGACAAGAAAGCGAGCUAUCACAUGGCCAUGUCAUAUUUUUAAUAAAUCAGGUUAUUUGUGUCCUGUGAGUUGAAUUCAGUUUUAUUUUUUCGUACAAAUUUUCUGAUGGUUGAUGCAAGCACAUUCUCUCCGUAGCUUCAUUUUUCACUUUCCAGAGAAGGUUUCUAUUACUCGGUUUUCCCUCGAUUAUCUAGAUUUUGUUGUUGUGUUAAAAUCAAUUCCUCCUAUAUCAUGCUUGGUUGAUAGUAGAAUUUGACAGAGGUGAGGUAGAAGGUAUGUUUCCCUCAAUUAAAGCAUCCUUGUUUAGAUUAUUCCUUUGUUCUUAGUAAGGUACAUUCAUAGCUACUGUUUAGUUCCAGAUUUUCUCCUUUUCUGUGCAUAUAUGUCGUAGAAGCUCAUAUGAAAUCUAUGUCAUGCAAUGAAGAUUGCCUUCUAUGUUGCAGGCACAUAGUGAUGUAGAUCAAGGAGCAGCAGAAGGCAAGUAGCAGGGCCCGAUAGCUGCUAUUAAGGUAAUUGCUAUCAUUUUCGUGUUUGUGCAUCUGAAUGUUUGCUAAAUCCCAGCCCUAUAUUUAUAUUUCUUUUGGUUGACAGUGGUACCUGUAGUUGUCAUUUUUCACAUGGGUCAUGCCUGCCUGAACCGUCUGUGGGAUUGUUUAGAGGAUUUUGUGUUUCUUCUUACCGAGUAGAAUUUGUUCUAGGGUAAGUUCAUUUUCAGGGAAUAUAAUCUUGUGAUAUGUGGUUUUAGCUAUGAACGAAUGAUAGCAUAUGGAAAAGUACGUACGCUGUUGCUGCUCUUGCUGCUUCCGCUACCGAGUGGAGAUAUGUAGUGUGUUUCCAUUUGCAUAGCUGAACCUAUAUUUAUUUUUUGUUUCAUUAUUAUGGACCCUUUGCAUCAUGUUUAUAACUAAUUGCUCUAUCGAGUUUGGAAAGUUACACUCUGUAAGAAGUUAUAGAAUGAUUCCCAGCUGUUUAGUAAUGUUUUGUUUACUGAACAUAGAAAUGAGUAGUUACUUGUGGUUAUAGAAACAGCACCCUGCUUCCUUUUUCCAAAGAGGUUACAAGUGGAACUGGUGUGAUGCUACUAAGCAGUCUACCCAUGUGAAAAAUUAGCCCCUGAGUCCCUGAUACAUUGCCCUACUAAAUCAUAUUGUGCUUUCCUUAUGGUAAUUCUCUUUGAAAUUCCUUUCCGCAUCCAUUUAUAAUAGCAAAAUGAUGAACAGAAGGGGCAUAACAUAACAUCGGUUAUUUCGUUUGUAGCAUAAUUAUAGUUUGUUACAUUCAGAGAAGCGUUGUGCCGCCAGCCACUGUCUAUUUGCACAGGUCGCCGUCGUGUCAUCGGCUCGUUGCCCCUUGCCUCAGCCGGAGCCGUGAUCGCCUCAGAAGGAACAAUGUGUGUGAGGUCUCCCAUCAUAAAGAAUGAAUUUUUUUAGAAGGAGCUCAAGUCAUGGGCUUAGAUGCUUCUAACCAAAUAAUACUUGCUUCUAAAAAGGCACCUGGUUUAGGCCAGGGACAUGCUUUUACUAAGGUAUGAAGUUUAAAUUGACCGAGGAGAGAACCCCGUGCCCCCACACCAUCUCAUGAUUUAGCUCAUUGCGACCCUGCUAGCCCCUCUCCCCUUUGUCCCACAGAGAGAGGACGCCUCCUGCCAUCCUGCUCAGGCGAUGAGCUGAUCGGAUCUGGACAACGGCAGUAUCACAGCGAAACAACUACAGCAGGAAGAGCCGAUGCAGACACCCGCCCUGCCCUACGACUACGACGAGAUCCUCUUCCCUGCGUCGUUGUGCUUUCUCCUGCAGCGCUCCUGCUGUUGAGGAUUCCGGACUCCCGUGCCAUGUAGGUUCCUGCUGCAAGAGCUUUGUCCUCUUCUCCCUCAUCUGGUUUAUUUCUUUACUCCUCAUCCGUAUCCUUCCGGAGUUCUGUUCUGGCUCCAUUACUUUCUUCAACCUUGACUUUGCGUGUUU
Brachypodium distachyon (stiff brome) is the source of this 5446-nucleotide long non-coding RNA. RefSeq lists it as uncharacterized. The transcript is spliced from 2 exons. The record is from RefSeq and is a predicted model, not a curated record. NCBI's taxonomy places the organism in Eukaryota, Viridiplantae, Streptophyta, Magnoliopsida, Poales, Poaceae.